UACGUAGGGUGCGAGCGUUAAUCGGAAUUACUGGGCGUAAAGCGUGCGUAGGCGGUCUCGCAAGUCCGCUGUGAAAGCCCCGGGCUUAACCUGGGAAUGGCAGUGGAAACUAUGAGACUUGAAUCUGGCAGAGGGGGGUGGAAUGCCACGUGUAGCAGUGAAAUGCGUAGAGAUGUGGCGGAACACCGAUGGCGAAGGCAGCCCCCUGGGCCAAGAUUGACGCUCAGGCACGAAAGCGUGGGGAGCAAACAGG
RNAcentral lists this ribosomal RNA (253 nucleotides) under uncultured bacterium. RNAcentral's name for it is "partial 16S ribosomal RNA". It matches the Rfam family "Bacterial small subunit ribosomal RNA", at positions 524 to 776 of the family's 1533-position model. The record is from RNAcentral.